GAAGAUUAACGAUUUAUGUGCUAUGUUUCUUUCCCCUUUUUUCUCCGUCUCCCUUUAUUGAAACAAAAAGGAUCCUCAUGUAAAAAUAUCCUGGGCAUUUUAUUGUUGGUAGUCUGUGGAAAAUUACUUUGUAGCUUAGUCUGCUGUAAAUUUUGUAUCUUGUUCACCGUUGAUUUUGUCUAGCUGCUCCAGCGCAAUAAUGUGGUGCAUAAUUGCAUUAUCAUUGCCAUUUUUAGUGAAAUGAUUUGUGAUACGUUUAGGGCAUAAAUAGAUGUGCAGGUGUUCUUAGCAUGAUGUUCUAGUAAUAAUUAUUUUUGCUUUAAGAGCUUUUUUUAUAUUGUUGGAAAAUACGGAUAAUGCGUCCCAUGUGGGGUGAUCCGACUCGCAAGAUUUUAUAAGGGUUGAAGGAAGUGGUUUGAAUUUAGAAUUCAAAUCUAUAACUCCCAAAUAACUACUUAAAACUCUAUAUAGAAGUUGUGGAAAAAGGAACAAUAAGGUGGUAUGAAAAAUAUAGUGAAAAUUCGUAUAUGAAUUCACACCAAAAUUGAAAAGACCUUAGAAUCACAUUUUUGGCAUGAAAUCUCACAAGAAAUGACACUUAGAUUGUGGAUAGUAAUACCCUUCUAUUAUGAUCGGGAUUUGGACCACUGGAGUACAAUAAAAUGCAGAUUUUGAAGAUUUGAAGGCAAUGUGAUUCAACUACACAAAGAUCUUGAAAUUCAUCAUUUCAAG
RNAcentral lists this long non-coding RNA (732 nucleotides) under Olea europaea (common olive). RNAcentral's name for it is "long non-coding RNA (OEUR_LNC004547)". Lineage: Eukaryota; Viridiplantae; Streptophyta; Magnoliopsida; Lamiales; Oleaceae. The record is from RNAcentral.